AUUGAACGCUGGCGGCAGGCCUAACACAUGCAAGUCGAGCGGAUGAAGGGAGCUUGCUCCUGGAUUCAGCGGCGGACGGGUGAGUAAUGCCUAGGAACCUGCCUGGUAGUGGGGGAUAACGUCCGUAAACGGGCGCUAAUACCGCAUACGUCCUGAGGGAGAAAGUGGGGGAUCUUCGGACCUCACGCUAUCAGAUGAGCCUAGGUCUGAUUAGCUAGUUGGUGGGGUAAAGGCCUACCAAGGCGACGAUCCUUAACUGGUCUGAGAGGAUGAUCAGUCACACGGGAACUGAGACACGGUCCAGACACCUACGGGAGGCAGCGGUGGGGAAUAUUGGGCGAUGGGCGAAAGCCUGAUCCAGGCAUACCGCGUGUGUGAAGAAGGUCUUCGGAUGGUAAAGCACUUUAAGUUGGGGGGAAGGGCAGUAAGUUAAUACCUUGCUGUUUUGACGUUACCAACAGAAUAAGCACCGGCUAACUUCGUG
RNAcentral lists this ribosomal RNA (484 nucleotides) under uncultured bacterium. Its description in RNAcentral is "partial 16S ribosomal RNA". It matches the Rfam family "Bacterial small subunit ribosomal RNA", at positions 30 to 507 of the family's 1533-position model. The record is from RNAcentral.